RNAcentral lists this small RNA (17 nucleotides) under Arabidopsis thaliana (thale cress). RNAcentral's name for it is "ATSL011930". The record is from RNAcentral. Lineage: Eukaryota; Viridiplantae; Streptophyta; Magnoliopsida; Brassicales; Brassicaceae.
CUGUUUUGUUUUCUGUU